CCUACGGGCGGCAGCAGUAGGGAAUUUUCCACAAUGGGCGAAAGCCUGAUGGAGCAACGCCGCGUGGGUGAAGAAGGUCUUCGGAUCGUAAAACCCUGUUGUUAGAGAAGAAAGUGCGUGAGAGUAACUGUUCACGUUUCGACGGUAUCUAACCAGAAAGCCACGGCUAACUACGUGCCAGCAGCCGCGGUAAUACGUAGGUGGCAAGCGUUAUCCGGAUUUAUUGGGCGUAAAGGGAACGCAGGCGGUUUUUUAAGUCUGAUGUGAAAGCCUUCGGCUUAACCGGGGUAGUGCAUUGGAAACUGGGGGACUUGAGUGCAGAAGAGGCAGGUGGAAUUCCGUGUGUAGCGGUGAAAUGCGUAGAUAUAUGGAAGAACACCGGUGGCGAAGGCGGCUCUCUGGUCUGUAACUGACGCUGAGGUUCGAAAGCGUGGGUAGCAAACAGGAUUAGAUACCCUGGUAGUC
RNAcentral lists this ribosomal RNA (465 nucleotides) under uncultured bacterium. RNAcentral's name for it is "partial 16S ribosomal RNA". It matches the Rfam family "Bacterial small subunit ribosomal RNA", at positions 338 to 795 of the family's 1533-position model. The record is from RNAcentral.